CCUACGGGAGGCUGCAGUGAGGAAUAUUGGUCAAUGGACGAGAGUCUGAACCAGCCAAGCAGCGUGAAGGAUGAAUGCCCUAUGUGUUGUACACUUCUUUUAUAAAGGAAUAAAACGAGGCACGUGUGCCUUUUUGCAUGUCCUUUAUGAAUAAGGAUCGGCUAACUCCGUGCAAGCAGCCGCGGUAAUACGGAGGAUCCGAGCGUUAUCCGGUCUUAGUGGGUUUAAAGGGAGCGUAGAUGGGGUGUUAAGUCAGUUGUGAAAGUUUGCGGCUCAACCGUAAAAUUGCAAUGGAGACUGGCAGUCUUGAGUACAGUUGAGGUAGGCGGAAUUCGUGGUGUAGCGGUGAAAUGCUUAGAUAUCACGAAGAACCCCGAUUGCGAAGGCAGCUUACUAAACUGUGACUGACAUUGAUGCUCGAAAGUGUGGGUAUCAAACAGGAUUAGAUACCCUGGUAGUC
Molecule: ribosomal RNA, 460 nt
Filed under: uncultured bacterium
Lineage: Bacteria
Description: partial 16S ribosomal RNA
Rfam family: Bacterial small subunit ribosomal RNA
Source: RNAcentral